RNAcentral lists this ribosomal RNA (601 nucleotides) under uncultured Pseudomonadota bacterium. RNAcentral describes it as "bacterial SSU rRNA". It matches the Rfam family "Bacterial small subunit ribosomal RNA", at positions 8 to 607 of the family's 1533-position model. The record is from RNAcentral. Lineage: Bacteria; Pseudomonadati; Pseudomonadota.
AGAGUUUGAUCAUGGCUCAGAGUGAACGCUGGCGGCGUGCCUAAUACAUGCAAGUCGAACGCGAAAGUCCUUCGGGAUGAGUAAAGUGGCGCACGGGUGAGUAAUACAUGGGAACAUGCCCUCAAAUGGGGAAUAACAGUUGGAAACGACUGCUAAUACCGCAUAGUCUCGCAAGAGUAAAGGUGGCGCCGUAAGGGCUACCGUUUGAGGAUUGGCCCAUGUCCCAUUAGCUAGUUGGUAAGGUAAUGGCUUACCAAGGCGACGAUGGGUAACUGGUCUGAGAGGAUGAUCAGUCACACUGGAACUGAGACACGGUCCAGACUCCUACGGGAGGCAGCAGUAGGGAAUAUUGCACAAUGGGGGAAACCCUGAUGCAGCAACGCCGCGUGAGUGAAGAAGGCCCUUGGGUUGUAAAGCUCUUUAGCGAGGGAAGAAGCUUCGUACGGCGAAUAAUCGUACGGGAUGACGGUACCUCGAGAAUAAGCACCGGCUAAUUUCGUGCCAGCAGCCGCGGUAAUACGAAAGGUGCAAGCGUUACUCGGAAUCACUGGGCGUAAAGCGCGCGUAGGCGGAUACGUAUGUCAGUUGUGAAAUACCUGAG